Bos taurus (domestic cattle) is the source of this 3310-nucleotide long non-coding RNA. Lineage: Eukaryota; Metazoa; Chordata; Mammalia; Artiodactyla; Bovidae. The record is from Ensembl.
CUGACAGCUCUGUCCCUGCAUCCCAGGCCACUGCUCUGGCCCCAUCAACAUCCUCAGCAUCUCCAGACUCCCUGCAGCUCUAGACCACAUCCCUGCACAGAUCUGCUCUUCCUGCCAUCGUCCCUGAAAGACUGUGAUAUAGUAAGAAAUAGGUGGAUUUCGUCUUUGUACUGUUUCUGGCACAAGAGCUGCUGAAACACUUGCAACUUCCGGGUGGGGUAAGAGGAGCAGCUAUCGUUGUUCAGAACAAGCCCUACUUCAAAGCUCGUGCUGAUAAAGUGACUCUUGGAGGUUUGGGGCUGGUUUGCCAGAGGAAUGAACCUUGAGAUUCAAGACUGGAGCUUUCAGGACUUCCCUAGGGGUCCAGUGGCUAAGACUCGGCAAUUCCAAUGCAGGGAACGGGGCGGCACAAGUUCAAUCCCUGGUUGGGUGAGGGAACUAACGUGCUGCCUGGGAUGCAGCCAAAAAAAAAAAAGAUUGGAGCUUUCAACCUCAUCCCCACACUGCCAGGGAGAGGAGGGGGUGGAGGUUGCAUUCAGUCACCAAUAGUCAGUGAUUUAAUCAAACAUGGAAUGUCCGUAAAACCCUAACAACAGGUUUUGGAGGCUGUCGGGUUGGGGAACACACCAAGGGAAGGGUGGGGUUCAAGAGAAGGCAGGAGAGAUCUGUGUGCCCCCUCCCAGGCCUCCCCUCACCACUCUACAUACGCCCUCUCCAGGAAUCUCUUCCAUCUGGUUGUGAGUUGUAUCCUUUAUAGGAAACUGGCAAAUACACGGAAACUGUUUCCCUGAGAUCUGCGGAGUCAGUCUAGCACUCUGAUGACCCUGAGGAGGCAGUCGUGGGAACCCCUGAUUGAUGGCUAGUACGUCGGAAGCGCAGCAGGCCUGUGACUGGUAACUGGAGUCUAAUUGGAGGCAGUUUUGAGGAGUUGAGCCCUGAACUUGAGGGCUGUGACUCUAGCUCCAGGGAGAUAGUGAUGGGAUCGAAGUGAAUUCUAGGAUACCCAGACUGUGUCCAGAAAGUCGGAGCAUAGAUUGCAUGCUGCAUGCUCAGUUGCUCAGUCGUGUCCAACUCUUUGCAACCCCAUGGACUAUAGCCCACCAGGCUCCUCUGUCCACGGGAUUCUCCUGGACAGAUUCUGGAGUAGGCUACCAUUUCCUUCUACGGGGAAUCUUCCUAGCCCAGGAUCCCCCAUCUCCUGUACUGGCAGGUAGAUUCUUUACCCUGAGCCACUAGGAAGUCACUAUGUCCAUAGGCUGAGAAUAACACGGAUGACACCUUUCUGUGCCUCUCUUCCAUCUCUGCAUUUAGAGAUAGCAACUUGGGAGCUUGAAGCUGGCCGUGAUGGGAGUAUUGACACCACAGAAAUCAGGGACCUUUACACAUUAGAGCUUUCAAUAGCCCCAGAGAGCCAGUUGUUAGACAUCUUCCAGCACACUGUGGAGAAAGAGGGUGAUGCUGUCAUCUUGGCAGACAGAAAGGAGGAAAGGACAGCACACUCAGGUAGAUUUGUGGGCUUCAUGGUGAGACAAUGAGGCUUUUUUUUCCCUGUCGACUUCCACUUUUCUCUGAAGUCAGCUGCUUGCAUGAAGAAGCCGAACAGGACAGAAGCCUAGAGCCAUGGAUCCAAACCAGCUCAGCUUAGAAACCGAAGUGAUGGGAGGUGCAGAGCAGAGCAAGGGGAUGCAAGGCCCGCGGGAAUGGAUAAAUAGGAAGAGCUGAGAAGGCAGGGGAGGACGCGUACCACCUGGGCAGGGCGGAAAGCUGGGGAGAGGGAUGUGCGCAUGGGCGUUCAGAGCGCUGCCUUUUGACAGGGUCUGAUGCGCGGGCCCUGCGCUGCAGGCGUGGCGACCGAGAUACGCUUGGACCUUGUCCUGCAUUCUGGGAUUCACGUUGGAGGAACCUGUUUCUUCAUCUGUAAAAGGCUAUCAGUCAGUUCAACGAGUCAAUCGUGUCUGACUCUUUGCGACCACGUGGACUGCAGCACGCCAGGCUUCCCUGUCCAUUGCCACUAUAAAGUGAUAUAAGCAAUGAAAACACAUGUAACGUGCCCAAGUCAGAGAACGUUCUUGAAAUGUUUGCUUUCCUCCCACCGAACGCCCCACCUCACUUUCUCCCACCGGAACACCCAGGUCUCCUGAUCCCCACGUGCACACAUGUUCAGAAACGCUAAAAGAACCACCGUUUCUCCACUUCCAUCCAGACUCCUCUUUAGCAGAGGCGGUUUUAAAGUCAUGUGUUAUUAGAAAUCUUAUAAUGUACAGUUUGUAAACGGCAAGUCAGAAAUUGGAAGCUCAGGCCAGGAUCCUGAGACUGCCUGUCCGACAGCAGAGGCAUCAGAGAAUGCACUCAUUCAUAAGCUCGCCAGAGAGACGAGGUGGAAAAGACACUGACGUACAGACAGGAAGUGCAGACAAGGCUAAUUCGUUGCCACUGAAGCUUGCUGAGCGUGGUCUGGCUGUGACGUAAAUUAUUCAUGCAUUCCCCACGGCACCCUUGUGUUGAAGGCUGAUGUCAGGACAGGACCCCGAGUUCCUCUUCUGCCCCCGCCAGAGCUGAGCCGCGGUGUACAGAGUCGACACACCAUCCAUCCUAAAAUCCACUCUGUCCUCCAAGGGGGCCCACAGUGCAAGGCUGGCCAGUGCAACUAGGCUUCCUUGUCCAACUGCCAGAGACAGAUGGAUUCAUUCAGUUGCCAGCCCAAUACCCCCUGAUAAUGGUGAUAAUGUCUGGAAUUGAUUUAUGGUGCUCCUCUUGCCAUGAGAACGCAGUGGAGGCUGGACUGUUAUCGGUAAAGUCACAAAUUGACUUACUGUCCAUAGAGAGCAGAUCCAGACCAUUUCUUUAUUGACGAAGUCGACAUUUUGAGAACUACAAGACAGCUGGAGAAGAUACUAAGGCACUUGUGGGGCUUCCUGGGGCAAAGACUCCGCGCUCCCAGUACAGGGGACCUGGGCUCGAUCGCUGGUCAGGGAACUACGUCCCCUAUGGCACAACCACAAGUUCACGGGGCACAGCUAAGGAUCCUGCGUGUCACGGCGAAGACCGAAGGUGCUGUGUGCUGCAGCUGAGACCAGUGCGGUCAAAUGCAUAAAUAUAAAUGAGUAUUUUUAAAAAGAUUCUGAAGCACUUUUUAAGGAACUGGAAGAAGACAGCUGUCUUUUCAGGAAAUGAACUGAGAAACGCUGGGUGAAGCAACGUUAGCGUCUACUCGCGUGGAAACCCAGGCACGCGGCAGCUUGUCCACCAGGUCUGUACUCUGGGGUCACACCUGGAGCACUCGUAACCGUGCUGAUGGCAGGGAUCAGAC